AUAAAACCGUUGAUGAGGAAGUAAAACCGCAAGACCAACUUCUUAGAGAGUCAGGGUAGGUGGGAGCCUGACAGGUAACGGAGCGGGUAAAUGGGCCUUUGAGGGCGGAGCGAAAAAGUACAAGAUGCUUAAGUAGCUACCGACGCAUAGCCAGCGUUAUUGGGCUAAGGGUGUGAUGGCACUCUGCACAAGAGGAUGCAUAUGUCGAAUUGAAAUGAUAUGCAUCAAUUAAGGUGGUACCGCAGGUUAUAAUGCCUGUCCUUAAA
Molecule: non-coding RNA, 266 nt
Filed under: Desulfitobacterium metallireducens
Lineage: Bacteria; Bacillati; Bacillota; Clostridia; Eubacteriales; Desulfitobacteriaceae
Description: T-box sequence
Rfam family: T-box leader
About the family: Uncharged tRNA acts as the effector for transcription antitermination of genes in the T-box leader family. T-boxes are found upstream of many aminoacyl-tRNA synthetase genes and some amino acid biosynthetic genes usually in Gram-positive bacteria.
Source: RNAcentral